GUGCACCCUGGUUUUGUUCCUUCAGGUAUUUUCUGUAACCAUGAGUUCCUUCACGAAUAUGGCGAUUGGUGUCGAUCGACUUAUCGCUGUUUUGUUCCCGCUUAAAAUUCGCAUAACGUCGUCUCGAUCCAGCUGCAUGAUCGCCCUCAUCUGGUUGUUCUCGGUGGCACUAGCUUCCGCAGAGUUAUUUGUGGCCAGAGUUGCGGAAGCUUACCUCGAAGGAGACAUCGUUCUGGUAUGCGGCGAGAUCUGGGAAAAAGCGUCACAUGGUUCGAUUUACUGGUGGAUGAACAUCGUUUUUGUUUGUUUCAUUCCUUUUAUUGUUUUAAUGGUGACUUACUCAAUACUUGCUAAUGUCUUGUGGAAGAGGAGAGCACCAGGAAAUGCAGACACGAGCAGAGACCAGCUGGCCUUAAGAGCCAAAAGAAAGGUGAGAAUACCAUUACUUCAAUGUUAUAUAUCUUAUGUUUGUUAAUAUUAUUUUGUCUGUUUUACGGCUGUCGCUCUGAAAAUUGUACAUGUUUUAUGGCAAUCGGUUAAUUUACUAUAUUCAUUUUGUUAUUGGGAUUAAUAUAAGUAUUUUCUUAGAAUCACCUUCCUUUCUUCUAUAGGCACAAGGCCUCGAAUUUGUGGGGAGGGGAUAAUCAACCCCAGUACUUAACUGGUACUUAAUUUAUUGACCCCGAAAUGAUGAAAGACAAAGUCAAACUAAGCGGAAUUUGAACUCACAACGUAGCGGCAGACGAAAUACCGCUAAGUAUUUCGCCCGACUGCCAGCUCACCGCCUUCUUACAAUCACUUCAUCGACUGUACCUAUCACGAAUAUGCGCAAUCUUGAGUGGGAACCUGGUUCGAGAAUUUCAGGGUCUUGGAGAGUGUGGUAGAAUUUUUGAGUCACCAUUGUUCCGAGGUCUACUGUGUCCCGGUGUAAUAUCACUCUUCAGGGUCCCAUUUAUGGUUUGAAUCGCAUGUAUCCACCCAAGACAGGGAAUGCUGAAAUAAUGGGAUGCAGCAUGGUGAAUGGGAACAAUUUUGUCAGAUGAACUUAUUGAGUCAAUGGUUAAUUAAUGGUUAAAUAUUGACUGGGUGAACAGACAUUAAACUGAUAAUGGCACGGAUCAUCUAGUCGAGUUAGAGAACUACUGUUAUCAUCAAGAUAGCGUUCGAAGAUGAGACAUUUUAGUAAGAGAAACAUCAAUGUGACUAAAACCCAAACCAGACAUCCAUGGUGGAAGCACAUGACCUAGUAGUUAGAGCAGCGGACUCACGGUCGAGGGAUCGUGGGUUCGAAUCUCAGACCGGGCGAUGUGUGUGUUUAUGAGCGAAACACCUAAGCUCCACGCGGCUCCCGCAGAAGGCAAUGGCAAACUUCUGCUGACUCUUUCGCCACAACUUUCUCUCACUCUUUCCUCCUGCAUCUUGCAACUCCCCUGCGAGGGACCGGCGUCCCGUCCAGGUGGGAAACCUAUACGCCAAGGAAACCGGGAAACCGGCCCUUAUGAGUCAGGCGUGGUUCGAGAAGGAACAAACAACAUCAGACAUCCAUGUCUCGUCGCUCGAUUCGGGUCGCUUGGCGUGGAUGAGUUAAAAGUGAUCCAGGCAAGUCAUCCGACCAAUUUGAUUGCAUCAUACUUAAAUGUGACUGAUUGUUCGAGAUAACACCAUCUAUAAACGUAUUGUGUUUAAAAGUGUAAAAGGCGAAGGAGUGGCUGUGUGGUAAGUAGCUUGCUAACCAACCACAUGGUUCCGGGUUCAGUCCCACUGCGUGGCAUCUUGGGCAAGUGUCUUCUGCUAGAGCCCCGGGCCGACCAAUGCCUUGUGAGUGGAUUUGGUAGAUGGAAACUGAAAGAAGCCUGUCGUAUAUAUGUAUAUAUAUGUAUGUGUGUUUGUGUUUGUCCCCCUAGCAUUGCUUGACAACCGAUGCUGGUGUGUUUACGUCUCCGUCACUUAGCGGUUCGGCAAAAAGAGAGACCGAUAGAAUAAGUACUUGUCUUACAAAGAAUAAGUCUCGGGGUCGAUUUGCUCGACUAAAGGCGGUGCUCCAGCAUGGCCGCAGCCAAAUGACUGAAACAACUAAAAGAGUAUAUACUAGAAAUUCUUUCCUGACAGCGGCUAGCUGGGGCGUCAGAUACAUUUCAGCCUUUUUAGGCCUUGUCAGCGAUGUUUACUCGCAGCAACCCCAAUGCUUAAACGAGAUUUGUCCCCUCCAAUAUAUCGAUAUAUAGGGAACAGUGAAUAAUACAUCUAUCCAUAUCACCAGUAGCUACUGGGCUGAAUGAAUAAAAUCACUUAUAUGAGCUAAAGGUAUGUUUCUGCCAGUGCUUACAUUUGACGUCGAAUCUACUAACGGUUUUUAAAAAAAUACUUAAUAGCGUUCUGUUUAUCAUUUAUGCAGUCAUCAAAAUUAUUAUAAUGUCUUGUUGUUGAGAUAGGUUCUCUUUCAUUCGCGAUGAGAAGAUUGCAUUUUACACCGUUUAUUCCUUUGGAAUAAAACCAAUGUUGUCUUCGAAACAUAUGUCGGAAGUAAAAGAAUUUAAAUAACAUCUGCGUUCAACUCCAUUUAUUUACUUAUACAUAUAUGUAUAUAUGAGAACUUACUGUGGAUAAGGCUGUGUAGUGUUCGAUUAUAAAUAAAUAAAAAAUAUACAAUCAAUAAGUUUAAAGCUCGAAAUAGGGGUAAUAAAUAGUCGACAACUGAGGAGGAGUUAGACUUCUUUUCAUGUUUUGUCCUGUACUUUUCUCUCGUUAUAUGUUUACGUAUUUUUCGCUAGUGGUGUCCUGAGCUUAAUGUGUAUUUAUAUAUACAUUUCUUCUAUUUUCAGGUUGUAAAAAUGCUACUGACCAUUGUAGUCAUGUUCGGUGUAUGUUGGAUGCCUUUCAGUAUAUUAAUCUUGUUCCUCGAGUACCAUUAUGAACUAGCUUUGAAGCCCGGUUCCAAAUUAAUAUCUAUAUAUAUUUCCCUACACUGGUUAGCCAUGGCCCACU
RNAcentral lists this long non-coding RNA (2985 nucleotides) under Octopus vulgaris (common octopus). The record is from RNAcentral. Lineage: Eukaryota; Metazoa; Mollusca; Cephalopoda; Octopoda; Octopodidae.